This 614-nucleotide long non-coding RNA is filed under the name Citrus maxima (pomelo). Its description in RNAcentral is "long non-coding RNA (CMAX_LNC003134)". Lineage: Eukaryota; Viridiplantae; Streptophyta; Magnoliopsida; Sapindales; Rutaceae. The record is from RNAcentral.
UGCAAAAUACUUAACAUAUACAUUCCACAACAACCACAAUUAGGUCCAUUAGGAUGUCAAUGGCUUUAGUUACUAUUGCCUUAAUGAUUACUUUUUCUGUUUCCACUCAAACGGGUUUUGUCCUUUCAACUUUUUCUGCAUAGGGAGUCGAAGACGAAAAUGAACGUGUUAUGGGGCAAGACAGGCUGGAAAGACCUUCUAAAAGGUUACAUUUGGGAAAGCAAAAAGAUCAUGUUUCAUCAGCAAUGGCUAACUCAAGUACGACAUUAGCACUAAAAGAGGCUGAAAUGCCAAUGCCUAUAUCUGGACAGGGAAGUAAGAAACCUUCUCAACUAUGUUUAACUGACAUAAGAAGGGGAUCUAGUUCUCAGAUUCCUAAUGCACUAAAAGAGGCUGAAAUCCCAAUGCCUACAUCUGGACAGGGAAGUAAGAAACCUUCUCAACUAUGUUUAACUGACAUAAGAAGGGGAUCUAGUUCUCAGAUUCCUAAUGCACAAGUUAGCUGCAAAAGGAAGGACCUGACUUCAUCUCAUUUGGCCUUUCGCGGAAGAAAAUCAACUCAUAAUGGAGAGUCACAGGCAGUUUAUCUUAAACAGCCACUGGAUAAACAUGGC